This 330-nucleotide ribosomal RNA is filed under the name uncultured eukaryote. Its description in RNAcentral is "partial 18S ribosomal RNA". It matches the Rfam family "Eukaryotic small subunit ribosomal RNA", at positions 1470 to 1796 of the family's 1831-position model. The record is from RNAcentral.
CCCUUAGAUGUCCGGGGCCGCACGCGCGCUACACUGAAGGAAUCAGCGUGGCUUUCUCCCUGACCCGAAAGGGUUGGGAAACCCGUUGAAUCUCCUUCGUGAUAGGGAUUGGGGCUUGAAAUUGUUCCCCAUGAACGAGGAAUUCCCAGUAAGCGCGAGUCAUAAGCUCGCGUUGAUUACGUCCCUGCCCUUUGUACACACCGCCCGUCGCUCCUACCGAUUGAAUGAUCCGAUGAAUAUCAUGGAUUGAGGAUGCAAGUAGGUUCACCUAUCUUCAUCUUCGAGAAGUGAAGUAAAUCUUAUCAUUUAGAGGAAGGAGAAGUCGUAACA